This 74-nucleotide transfer RNA is filed under the name Paracoccus mutanolyticus. RNAcentral describes it as "tRNA-Gly". It matches the Rfam family "tRNA". Rfam says of the family: Transfer RNA (tRNA) molecules are approximately 80 nucleotides in length. Their secondary structure includes four short double-helical elements and three loops (D, anti-codon, and T loops). Further hydrogen bonds mediate the characteristic L-shaped molecular structure. tRNAs have two regions of fundamental functional importance: the anti-codon, which is responsible for specific mRNA codon recognition, and the 3' end, to which the tRNAs corresponding amino acid is attached (by aminoacyl-tRNA synthetases). tRNAs cope with the degeneracy of the genetic code in two manners: having more than one tRNA (with a specific anti-codon) for a particular amino acid; and 'wobble' base-pairing, i.e. permitting non-standard base-pairing at the 3rd anti-codon position. The record is from RNAcentral. Lineage: Bacteria; Pseudomonadati; Pseudomonadota; Alphaproteobacteria; Rhodobacterales; Paracoccaceae.
GCGGGUGUAGCUCAAUGGUAGAGCAGCAGCCUUCCAAGCUGAAUACGUGGGUUCACUCCGCAUCACCCGCUCCA